UCGCAAGGGAAAAAGCGCGCCCUCUUAUUGGGCGCGCACACCCUGCGCUUCUUCUUUUCUGUCGCACAUUUCCUUCUCUUUUAUUUUUUCCACGAAAGGCAAACGGACGGCUUUGGCAGGAUGCCCGGCGAGGGCAAGUUGGCAUGGCGAGACGAUUUUCGCGUGCGGGGGCUCGCACGAGGGCCUGCACGCACAGGGCGCGGGCGGGCGAGAGGCCGGCGUCGGGCGUCGGAGAAAAAAGGGGGCGACGUAGAAACGAGACAAGCCGCACCAGAGACACGACGCCGCAUGCAGCCCAAGAGAAAAUGUGACCGAGAGGGGUGUGCUUUUUUACAGGCAUAUGCGACCAACAUGAACGAACCGACAGACAAGCCCGCCGUCCUCUUUCCGCAGCCCGCAUGCACUCUGGGUGCUCCCCCGCCGAGAUCUCUUGCCGUUUUCCUCUCUCUCUCUCUCUCUCUCUCUUCUCUCUUCUCUCGCGCUCUGCAGAGAAAUGGCGCCGCCUUUUGUUGUUGUUGUAUUUUUUUGUGUCGGCCCAAAGAGAUCUCUUGAUUUUUUAGGGCUUCCGAGUAGUGCUGGUUAACGGCCCGCUCUUCCAGUUUCCAUCCAAC
RNAcentral lists this long non-coding RNA (611 nucleotides) under Pandoravirus dulcis. RNAcentral describes it as "putative ncRNA". The record is from RNAcentral.